Molecule: transfer RNA, 66 nt
Filed under: Anolis carolinensis (green anole)
Lineage: Eukaryota; Metazoa; Chordata; Lepidosauria; Squamata; Anolidae
Rfam family: tRNA
About the family: Transfer RNA (tRNA) molecules are approximately 80 nucleotides in length. Their secondary structure includes four short double-helical elements and three loops (D, anti-codon, and T loops). Further hydrogen bonds mediate the characteristic L-shaped molecular structure. tRNAs have two regions of fundamental functional importance: the anti-codon, which is responsible for specific mRNA codon recognition, and the 3' end, to which the tRNAs corresponding amino acid is attached (by aminoacyl-tRNA synthetases). tRNAs cope with the degeneracy of the genetic code in two manners: having more than one tRNA (with a specific anti-codon) for a particular amino acid; and 'wobble' base-pairing, i.e. permitting non-standard base-pairing at the 3rd anti-codon position.
Source: Rfam by way of RNAcentral
GGCCAUGAAAGCCUUUGACAACAGAUUGGGAUUCUGUUGGCCAGGGUUCAAAUCCUUGUUUGGCCA